GCUGGGUAUGGUGGUGCAUGCCUGUAAUCCCAGCUACUCGGGAGGCUGAGGCAGGAGAAUCACUUGAACCUGGGAAGCAGAGGUUGCAGUGAGCCAAGAUCACACCACUGCACUCUAGCCUGGGUGACAGAGUGAGACUCUGUCUCAA
This 148-nucleotide non-coding RNA is filed under the name Pan troglodytes (chimpanzee). Lineage: Eukaryota; Metazoa; Chordata; Mammalia; Primates; Hominidae. The record is from Rfam by way of RNAcentral.